Molecule: ribosomal RNA, 484 nt
Filed under: uncultured bacterium
Lineage: Bacteria
Description: partial 16S ribosomal RNA
Rfam family: Bacterial small subunit ribosomal RNA
Source: RNAcentral
AUUGAACGCUGGCGGCAGGCCUAACACAUGCAAGUCGAGCGGAUGCAGGGAGCUUGCUCCUGGAUUCGGGGGCCGACGGGUGAGUGAUGCCUAGGAAUCUGCCAGGUUGUGGGGGCUUAGGUCCGGACGUGGGCGCACAUACCGCAUAAGCCCAGAGGACGUACGUGGGGGAUCUUCGGAUCUUCCGCUCUUGGGUGAGUUUAGGUGGGAUUGGCUAGUUGGUGGGGUAAAGGGCUACCAAGCCAACGAUCCGUAGCUGGGCUGAGAGGAUGAUCAGUCACACUGGAACUUAGACACGUUCCAGACUCCUACGGGAGGCAGCAGUGGGGAAUAUUGGACAAGGGGCGAAAGCCUGAGCCAGCCAUGCCGCGUGUGUGAAGAAGGUCUUCGGAUUGUAAAGCACUUUUAUUGGGGAGGAAGAGCAGUACGUUAAUACCUUGCUGUUGUGACGGUACCAACAGAAUAAGCACCGGCUAACUUCGUG